This 530-nucleotide ribosomal RNA is filed under the name uncultured prokaryote. RNAcentral describes it as "bacterial SSU rRNA". It matches the Rfam family "Bacterial small subunit ribosomal RNA", at positions 355 to 896 of the family's 1533-position model. The record is from RNAcentral.
UGGGGAAUAUUGGGCAAUGGAGGAAACUCUGACCCAGCGACGCCGCGUGAGGGAUGAAGGCCUUCGGGUUGUAAACCUCUUUCAGUAGGGAAGAAGCGAAAGUGACGGUACCUACAGAAGAAGCACCGGCUAACUAUGUGCCAGCAGCCGCGGUAAUACAUAGGGUGCAAGCGUUGUCCGGAAUUAUUGGGCGUAAAGAGCUCGUAGGUCGUUUGUUACGUCGGAUGUGAAAACCUGAGGCUCAACCUCAGGCCUGCAUUCGAUACGGGCAAACUAGAGUUUGGUAGGGGAGACUGGAAUUCCUGGUGUAGCGGUGGAAUGCGCAGAUAUCAGGAGGAACACCAAUGGCGAAGGCAGGUCUCUGGGCCACUACUGACACUGAGGAGCGAAAGCGUGGGGAGCGAACAGGAUUAGAUACCCUGGUAGUCCACGCCGUAAACGGUGGGCACUAGUUGUGGGAACCUUCCACGGUUUCUGCGACGCAGCUAACGCAUUAAGUGCCCCGCCUGGGGAGUACGAUCGCAAGAUUA